UGGGGAAUCUUGGACAAUGGGGGCAACCCUGAUCCAGCGACGCCGCGUGGGUGGUAAGGCCUUCGGGUUGUAAAGCCCUUUCACCGGGGACGAUGAUGACGGUACCCGGAGAAGAAGCGCCGGCUAACUCCGUGCCAGCAGCCGCGGUAAGACGGAGGGCGCUAGCGUUGUUCGGAAUCACUGGGCGUAAAGGGCGCGUAGGCGGCGAUCUAAGUCGAGGGUGAAAGCCCGGGGCUCAACCUCGGAACGGCCUUCGAGACUGGGUUGCUGGAGACCGGAAGAGGAGGGUGGAAUACCCAGUGUAGAGGUGAAAUUCGUAGAUAUUGGGUGGAACACCGGUGGCGAAAGCGGCUCUCUGGUCCGGAUCUGACGCUGAGGCGCGAAAGCGUGGGGAGCAAACAGGAUUAGAUACCCCCGUAGUCC
RNAcentral lists this ribosomal RNA (423 nucleotides) under uncultured prokaryote. RNAcentral's name for it is "bacterial SSU rRNA". It matches the Rfam family "Bacterial small subunit ribosomal RNA", at positions 355 to 796 of the family's 1533-position model. The record is from RNAcentral.